Molecule: non-coding RNA, 664 nt
Organism: Ciona intestinalis (vase tunicate)
Lineage: Eukaryota; Metazoa; Chordata; Ascidiacea; Phlebobranchia; Cionidae
Source: RefSeq, a predicted model, not a curated record
GUUCGUUCCAUUCAUAAAGCAUUCCUUUAUUUGGUCCAAACAUCCCUUGCUUUCGAUUUUCACCAUGAUGUGCAACCUGUUAAACGAACCACAGGGUUUUGAAAUAAUAACACACACCGUGCGGACAACGAAAGUGCACCACUCCACCUGAAGAUUUACCGGUUAGUAAAAAAAUGCAAAUUUAACCAAAAUGGUUAAAUUUUGUAAAUACCUCCACAUUUUUUUAUUCUUUUAAACAACUUUGGAUAAAUGUCCUUAAACAAACAUAGUUCAUGCAGGUUGUUGACAACAUCCUCGGUGGAACCGGUGCAUGAAACUCCCAAUUGGUUGCAUAAUACCUUUAAUGAUUUCUGAGUACAAAAUGUAAUGUACCUUCCAAGAAAAAUUGUUAAAUAUAUGUCAAAAAAUGUUCAUUUACCGCAUCCUUUUUGUGUAAGGCGUCCAGAAUUUCCUCCUGAGACACUACAAAUUUUGUUGGCUUUAAUUUUGUUUGUUUUAACAUGGAACAUUUUUUAUGUUCCGUGUCCAGAAUAUAAUCAGAUGCUCGUGAAUAUUUCCCAAUCCAUGGUGAAACAGCAUUGUAUUUUAUAUCCAAUUUAAAAGGAUUAUUGGCACUUUCUGUAGAACACAAAAACAAAAAUUGAAUUACAGUCACUUUAACUAA